GACGAACGCUGGCGGCGUGCUUAACACAUGCAAGUCGAACGGAAGGCCCUGCUUUUGUGGGGUGCUCGAGUGGCGAACGGGUGAGUAACACGUGAGUAACCUGCCCUUGACUUUGGGAUAACUUCAGGAAACUGGGGCUAAUACCGGAUAGGAGCUCCUGCUGCAUGGUGGGGGUUGGAAAGUUUCGGCGGUUGGGGAUGGACUCGCGGCUUAUCAGCUUGUUGGUGGGGUAGUGGCUUACCAAGGCUUUGACGGGUAGCCGGCCUGAGAGGGUGACCGGCCACAUUGGGACUGAGAUACGGCCCAGACUCCUACGGGAGGCAGCAGUGGGGAAUAUUGCACAAUGGGCGGAAGCCUGAUGCAGCAACGCCGCGUGCGGGAUGACGGCCUUCGGGUUGUAAACCGCUUUCGCCUGUGACGAAGCGUGAGUGACGGUAAUGGGUAAAGAAGCACCGGCUAACUACGU
This 466-nucleotide ribosomal RNA is filed under the name uncultured bacterium. Its description in RNAcentral is "partial 16S ribosomal RNA". It matches the Rfam family "Bacterial small subunit ribosomal RNA", at positions 28 to 506 of the family's 1533-position model. The record is from RNAcentral.